ACAUGUAAGUACCUUGUGAAAUCCCACUGCUCAACGGUGGAACUGCAGGGUAUACUGCAUGUCUUGAGGCCAGUAGAGGUUGCCGGAACGGUAGGUGUAGCGGUGAAAUGCGUAGAUAUCUACCGGAACGCCGAAGGUGAAGACAGGCAACUGGGCUGGUUCUGACGCUCAGGCACGAAAGCGUGGGGAGCGAACAGGAUUAGAUACCCUGGUAGUCCACGCCGUAAACGAUGUGCACUAGAUCCGAGAGGUUCUGACACCAUUCGGGUCGAAGCAAAAGUGUUAAGUGCACCGCCUGGGGAGUACGGUCGCAAGGCUAAAACUCAAAGGAAUUGACGGGGGCUCACACAAGCGGUGGAGCAUGUGGCUUAAUUCGAAGCAACGCGAAGAACCUUAUCCUGGGUUUGACAUGCACGGAUGCCCUUCUCGAAAGAGAGGUAAGCUGCCCAUUCGGGUGAAACGUGCACAGGUGCUGCAUGGCUGUCGUCAGCUCGUGCUGAGAAGUGUUAGGUUAAGUCCUUUAACGAGCGAAACCCCUGUCGUUAGUUGCCAGCGCGCCUUCGGGUGGCGGGGACUCUAACGAGACUGCCGGUGUCAAACCGGAGGAAGGCGGGGACGACGUCAAGUCCUCAUGGCCUUUAUGCCCAGGGCUGCACACGUGCUACAAUGGCGCGGACAAAGCGAAGCAAUACCGUAAGGUGGAGCAAAUCGCAAAAAUCGCGCCCCAGUUCGGAUCGAGGUCUGCAAC
Molecule: ribosomal RNA, 748 nt
Filed under: uncultured Planctomycetota bacterium
Lineage: Bacteria; Pseudomonadati; Planctomycetota
Description: bacterial SSU rRNA
Rfam family: Bacterial small subunit ribosomal RNA
Source: RNAcentral